This 778-nucleotide ribosomal RNA is filed under the name uncultured Gemmatimonadota bacterium. Its description in RNAcentral is "bacterial SSU rRNA". It matches the Rfam family "Bacterial small subunit ribosomal RNA", at positions 1 to 788 of the family's 1533-position model. The record is from RNAcentral. Lineage: Bacteria; Pseudomonadati; Gemmatimonadota.
AGGGGGUUUGAUCAUGGGCUCAGGACGAACGCUGGCGGCGUGCUUAACACAUGCAAGUCGAACGAACGGAGGAGAGCUUGCUCUCCAAUGUUAGUGGCGGACGGGUGCGUAACACGUGAGCAAUCUGCCCUCGGGCGGGGGAUAGCCGGCCCAACGGCCGGGUAAUACCGCGUAAAGCAUUGGUGUCGCAUGGCACUGAUGUGAAAGGAACUUCGGUUUCGCCUGGGGAGGAGCUCGCGGCGUAUCAGCUUGUUGGUGGGGUAACGGCCUACCAAGGCUACGACGCGUAGCUGGUCUGAGAGGACGAUCAGCCACAUUGGGACUGAGAUACGGCCCAGACUCCUACGGGAGGCAGCAGUGGGGAAUAUUGCGCAAUGGCCGAAAGGCUGACGCAGCGACGCCGCGUGUGGGAUGAAGGCUUUCGGGUUGUAAACCACUGUCGGGAGGGACGAAAUAAAUGACGGUACCUCCAAAGGAAGCGCCGGCUAACUCCGUGCCAGCAGCCGCGGUAACACGGAGGGCGCGAGCGUUGUUUGGAAUCACUGGGCGUAAAGCGCGCGUAGGCGGUUGGGUAAGUCGCUUGUGAAAGCCCGGGGCUCAACUCCGGGACGCCAGGCGAUACUGUCCGACUAGAGCACGGUAGAGGCAAGUGGAAUUCCCGGUGUAGCGGGUGGAAUGCGUAGAUAUCGGGAAGAACACCAGUGGCGAAGGCGGCUUGCUGGGCCGUUGCUGACGCUGAGGUGCGAAAGCGUGGGGAGCAAACAGGAUUAGAUACCCU